This is a non-coding RNA of Acanthosepion pharaonis, 95 nucleotides long. Lineage: Eukaryota; Metazoa; Mollusca; Cephalopoda; Sepiida; Sepiidae. The record is from the annotation of a GenBank genome assembly.
GAACACUAGUUCUCGUGCGAGCACCGAAAUUAAGCAACGUCGAGCCUGGUUACUACCGAUAUGGGUGACCGCUUGUGAAUACCAGGUGCAGCAAG